CGCCGCGGUAAUACAGAGACCUCAAGCGUUAUCCGGAUUUACUGGGCGUAAAGCGUCUGUAGGGGGUUUAUUAAGUUCCAAGUAAAAUUUCAAGGCUCAACUUUGAAUUCGCUUGGAAAACUAAUAAACUGGAGUCUAGCAGAGGUGCAUGGAACUUGUGGUGUAGGAGUGAAAUCCGUUGAUAUCACAAGGAACACCAAAGGCGAAGGCAUUGCACUGGGCUAGCACUGACCCUGAGAGACGAAAGCGUGGGGAGCAAAACGGAUUAGAUACCCGUGUAGUCCACGCCCUAAACGAUGAAUGCUAAAUGUUCGGGGAUUCGACCCCCUGGGUGUUACAGCUAACGCGUUAAGCAUUCCGCCUGGGAAGUACGGCCGCAAGGCUAAAACUCAAAGGAAUAGACGGGGAUCCGCACAAGCGGUGGAGCGUCUGGUUUAAUUCGACAGUAAGCGUGGUACCUCACCAGGGUUUGACAUCCCUUGACAGCCUUGGAAACAAGGUUUCCUUCGGGCAAGGUGACAGGUGCUGCAUGGUCGUCGUCAGUUCGUGCCGUGAGGUGUUCCGUUAAGUCGGGAAACGAACGAAACCCCUAUUGCAUGUUACAAUUUCUCAUGCAAGACUGCCCGGAUAUACUGGGAGGAAGGUGGGGAUGACGUCAGAUCUGCAUGGUCCUUAUACCCUGGGCGACACAGGCGCUACAAUGGCAGAGACAAAGGGUUGCAAAACCGCAAGGUGAAGCUAAUCCCAAAAACUUUGUCUAAGUUCGGAUUGAAGGCUGCAAUUCGCCUUCAUGAAGCUGGAAUCGCUAGUAAUCGUGAAUCAGCCACGUCACGGUGAAUAUGUUCCCGGAUC
RNAcentral lists this ribosomal RNA (852 nucleotides) under uncultured Parcubacteria group bacterium. RNAcentral's name for it is "bacterial SSU rRNA". It matches the Rfam family "Bacterial small subunit ribosomal RNA", at positions 513 to 1380 of the family's 1533-position model. The record is from RNAcentral.